RNAcentral lists this non-coding RNA (1034 nucleotides) under Pan troglodytes (chimpanzee). Lineage: Eukaryota; Metazoa; Chordata; Mammalia; Primates; Hominidae. The record is from RNAcentral.
CAAAGACCACCUCUACAUUCUCGGUGCUUCUCCGGAGUAUCUCAGGGAAGUGCUGCUUGUACUUUCUGUUGAUAACCUUCAGCAUGGCUUCCCUCGUAAUGGGCUCUUUCCUUAUAUACUUGUUGAGCAGGAACUGCACCAAUUCGCCCGUCUUCGUGUUCAGAAGAUCUCUUCCUGUGCUCUCAGAGGAGGACGGGCCAUGGAAGGAGUUGGGACUUUCCCCCUUUUGACCCUUGGCACCUUCAUCAGAACUUAGCCUGGGACUCCUUUCUCCGCUGACCUGGGGCAGCCAGUCUUGCAACCAAAGCCCUCUACUGAAACGCUCCGUGCAGCCCUGUCUACUGAGGGCUCAGGAUCUUCACCUUGCUACUUGACCAGUCCUGGGACUCCAUCCUCAGCUCACUACAGGCAACACCCUUCAAAGCAAGAUCCUUGCUUCAAUGGGACCUCAGAUUUGGACAUUCAGGUUUCUGGGGCUCCACUAUGCACAGCUGGGGCUUCCCCCACCAGACCAAGAUUCUCCUUUCCCUGAGACCCUCCAGGCCGAAAUGACAGUCACCUCAACCUGACAGCUCUUCCUGAGCUUCCCAAGUCACAGGAGAGGUGGGAUUUGGGAAGCAAUGCUAAGCAGUGGAAUGGACAUCGACAUAGAGAGAUCAGCUCCACACUUAUACUCUGCCACUCAACUUCCCCAUGUGACUUGAGGAUCACUCUGACUCCAAAACAUAGCAAGCUCGCGGAACAUCAUUCAUGCAAAGUAUUCCAAGGAGCCCCUUGAAGCAACAGAAUGGAUUUCUCUUCUAUGGUGGAAUGGCACCCUGGAUGAUUAAAACCGUAGCAGCAAACAAAACCUCCAUCAAGUAAGAAUUCAGAGUGUGAGAUAUCACGCACAGCCACGCGUGGAUCUUUAUAUACGUGUCAAUGUGUUUGAUUGUAUUUUUGCUUUAAAAGUAUGUAUUGAGCAUUUCUUCUAGGUCCUCAGUAACAUCUUUUUUUAAAAAAAAUAAAUGCUUAGGGAAUUGUUUUAUAUUAAA